Molecule: long non-coding RNA, 1165 nt
Organism: Spinacia oleracea (spinach)
Lineage: Eukaryota; Viridiplantae; Streptophyta; Magnoliopsida; Caryophyllales; Amaranthaceae
Exons: 2
Source: RefSeq, a predicted model, not a curated record
UUUUCGGGAUCUUCACGAUCUGGUUCUCAACCAUGCUUCCAAGGGUGAUGGGUAUGGUUGGUGGACCAUUGUCAACAAGAAGUCCCGAAAGAGGGGGGAUCCGAACUACAUCACGGCGUACCCCUACCUUAGCUCUGACCACAAUUGGAAGACGGAGUGGUUGCUCGUCCGUGUGCCGACGGAUCCGAAGCAUCCCAACUUUUAUCGUCCUCCGAAGUGGUUCGUGGCUCCUGAUCCUGAUAUGAGGGGUGUGGCAGCUCCAGAUCGGAACCAUCGCCACUAUGUGGACCUCCUCCAGUGGUUCUUGGCUCAAGAGGAUAACCAUCGACUGCCGUCUAGCUGGCUCCCGAAUCUCAAUUACAUUUUGAGGGAGGACAUUCUUGCUGUUGCCGGUCUCAGCAGGAUUUUUGACAGGGGUAGGUGUCUUUCGGCUGAGACCGUUUUUUCAGUGAGUUUGUCCUCUUUCCUGUUUCGUUUUGCUGACAUGUUUUGUGCUUUGUUUUUGCAGAGUACGGCUUUAGCUGCAUUGAUCCUAAGAAGUUGGGCAUUUCUUUGGAUUUGAAGACUAUUCACGACCCGGCUCCCGAGUACAAGUUCGGAAAAGAUAACCCUCGUAAUCCUCGUCUGAAGGAUUACGUGUUGUCUCCUUCGGGGGUUGCUCGGAUAUCCGAAGUUCGAGCUGAUCCGUGGGAUUCCGCCUCUUCUGUUGAAGCUGUUCCUGUGAAGGUUGUGCUUCCUGAGUUGAAGACAACUUCGGACCCGGUGAGUGUUCAUUUAUAAGCUCGAUUUUCUGUUUAUCUUUUUCUUUUCGGUUGGCCGUCGGCUAACGUCUUGGUCCUGGACCAUCUUUUUAGGGUCCUGGGACUGACGCUGUGCCGCGUGCCGUUCCUUCGGUUUCAUCUCCGGCUCGGAUAGAUAUCACUUUAUCUAGGAACCGGGUAUUUCCCGCUUUUUUCUCUAUUUCUUCCUUUUUCUUCUUUUAUAUUCGUUGACCCUUGGUCUCCCCUUUUUAGGAUCAACGCAAAAGGAAGGGUAGCACUCUUUUGAGGCCGUCCACGCAUCCGAAGAAAGCGAAGGCUUCUCAGCCCUCGGAGAAGGAAGCGGUUUCGGAAGUCAUGCCUCCUCCUAAGAAUCUUCUUCACUUCAUGCCCUUGCCAGGGCAGAA